RNAcentral lists this ribosomal RNA (496 nucleotides) under uncultured bacterium. Its description in RNAcentral is "partial 16S ribosomal RNA". It matches the Rfam family "Bacterial small subunit ribosomal RNA", at positions 30 to 523 of the family's 1533-position model. The record is from RNAcentral.
AUUGAACGCUGGCGGAAUGCUUUACACAAGCAAGUCGAACGGUAGAGGGGGCAACCCCUCGAGAGUGGCGAACGGGUGAGUAAUAUAUCGGAACGUGCCCAGUCGUGGGGGAUAACGUAGCGAAAGUUACGCUAAUACCGCAUACGAUCUAAGGAUGAAAGCGGGGGAACGCAAACCAUCGCGCCAUUCGAGCGCCCGAUAUCAGAUUAGGUAGUUGGUGGGGUAAAGGCUCACCAAGCCAACGAUCUGUAGCUGGUCUGAGAGGACGGCCAGCCACACUGGAACUGAGACACGGUCCAGACUCCUACGGGAGGCAGCAGUGGGGAAUUUUGGACAAUGGACGCAAGUCUGGUCCAGCCAUUCCGCGUGCAGGAUGAAGGCCCUCGGGUUGUAAACUGCUUUUGUACGGAACGAAAAGGUCUCUCUUAAUACGGGGGACUCAUGACGGUACCGUAAGAAUAAGCACCGGCUAACUACGUGCCAGCAGCCGCCGUAA